Long non-coding RNA from Gossypium raimondii (Peruvian cotton), 448 nucleotides. RefSeq lists it as uncharacterized. The record is from RefSeq and is a predicted model, not a curated record. The transcript has 3 exons. Lineage: Eukaryota; Viridiplantae; Streptophyta; Magnoliopsida; Malvales; Malvaceae.
CUGAAAUUCCCAUUGAAAUCAUCAUCCAAGUUCCAUAAACCGUCCCAAAGAAAUUCCUCGUUCGAUGUAUCGCUGCUCGAAACAUUGCCAUCGAUUAUCAUGGGAUAAACGAAGCCUUGUUCUUGAUCCGUCGUGCUGUUGUGGUUGAGGAUUUGUUGCUGUUGAAAUUGUUGCCUUUUAAGUAUUCGAGCUUUUGCCUUAAUGGAGUUAUCAGGCUUUUUCUUGAAAUGGGUCCUCCAGUAGUUCUUGAUCUCAUUAUCAGUUCUUCCAGGUGCUGGAAGACAUGGAAUUGAGUGCGCUGAAGCGUUUUAUUCUCCUAUUUAUGAGUUGGGGAAAGACUGUGUAGUUCUAGACAUUGUGUUAAAAAGAAUUUAUAUAAUUAAAACCUACAAUAAAUUGUAAAAAAAAAACCAAUUUUUUUAUUAUUUUGAAAUACAACAAUCAACCG